ACAGAGCAGUCAUUAUGUUACAGGGUGGUCUUUAUCUAACAGAGCGACCAUUAUGUUACAGAGCGGUCUUUAUGUUACAGAACAGUCAUUAUCUAACAGAGCGGUCAUUAUCUUACAGAACAGUCAUUAUCUAACUGAACGGUCAUUAUGUUACAGAACCAUUGCUAUGUUACAGAGCAGUCAUUAUGUUACAGAGCGGUCAUUACAGAACCAUCGUUAUGUUACAGCGCAGUCGUUAUGUCAGCGCACGGCCAUUAUGUAACAGAGCGGUCAUUAUGUAACAGAGCAGUCAUUAUCUAACAGAGUGGUCAUUAUCUAACAGAGCAGUCAUUAUGUUACAGAGCGGUCAUUAUCUAACAGAGUGGUCAUUAUGUUACAGAGCGGUCAUUAUGUAACAGAGCGGUCAUUAUGUCACAGAGCAGUCAUUAUGUUACAGAACCAUUGCUAUGUUACAGAGCGGUCAUUACGUUACAGAGCGGUCAUUAUGUUACAGAACCAUCGUUAUGUUACAGCGCAGUCGUUAUGUUACAGAGCGGCCAUUAUGUAACAGAGCGGUCAUUAUGUAACAGAGCGGUCAUUAUCUAACAGAGCGGUCAUUUUCUAACAGAGCGGUCAUUAUCUAACAGAGCGGUCAUUAUGUUACAGAGCAGUCAUUAUGUAACAGAGCGGUCAUUAUGUUACAAAGCAGUCAUUAUGUUACAGAACCGUCAUUAUGUCUCCAUUAGAUGGAAGCGUAAUCGUCAAGUGACAGCGGAAAACAGCUGGUGACUCAAGUCCUCUAAGGCAGGGCAGCAUAUUAUAUUAAAUGUAGUGUAGGAGACUGUAACAUGUAAACUUUACAAAGUGGAGCUUGUGUAUAUCCAGAUUGCUAGACCAUUAAAUAUGAACAAAUAAUCUUUUCUUGCAGCCAUAGUCACAGAGUAGUCCUUAUGACACAGAAACAUAAUUAUGUUACAGAAACGUUAUGUUAUAAUCUGUUCAUUUGGGACGUAUGCUGAACAAGUCCCUGUGAACAAGUCGUUACUAUAGCAAUCUUAAAGGAGAAUAUAUAUAUAUAGUGUUUGAUUAUUCAAUAAACUAUACAGUGGGAAAUUUCAGAUUGAGGAUCACUGAUUAUUCUAUUUGCUCUGCAUGUUAUAAAUUAAAGCUGUUAACACACACAGGGGUAUCGAUCUUCUAUAAAACCACACACAC
Molecule: long non-coding RNA, 1194 nt
Organism: Ictalurus punctatus (channel catfish)
Lineage: Eukaryota; Metazoa; Chordata; Actinopteri; Siluriformes; Ictaluridae
Source: Ensembl